CUUGGUAGGAGCCGUGAAGCGGCGACAUCCCCACCAAAGGUGUGUGUAAACCCUACUCCUGCUACCUGGGGAACUUUCUCCUGGCACAGAAUUCUGAGGUUUGAAUGACAUGCACUUAGAAUUACUGGGCGUGCACAUUGGACGCUGGGCGGCCCCAGGUCUGGACAAGGCAUCAGCAUGGUGCGGCCACAUGAGGCAGCCGGGCCGGAGCCUGGAGCCGCCGCUUCACAUCCACAGAGGAUGAGGGUGCCGAGCUGGAGCGGUGGACGGGGUGCAGAUGGGGCAGCUGUCGCUCUCUGGCAUUCUGGUUGUAUCCUACCAGAGGAGGGACGCCCACCAGCGCCGGUGUCAGCUGCCAUCUGCCUGUGCAGUUGCAGCGGGCCCAGGGCGGAGCGUCGGGAGGCGGCGGAACAUGUCCCUGUCCCUGGUGCUUGCGGGGGCCGGGCUGGCACGGGCCGGAAUGCAUGGGUCAGGGCGCCACCCACUUCCUGGGUCUGCUCCACCGGGGCCCUGGACCCCCACGGGCUCCCGCAGUCUCCAGUCCCCCCAUCGUUCGCCCUCUGGUGGCCGGAGUGUGCAGUGCACCUGCGCAAGCUCUAGGCUGCUGCCGGUUUAGGCCGGUUUCAUCCUUUUCCUGCCAAUGCCUUUUUUUUUUUUUUUUUUUUUUUGUCUUUUUUUUAGGACCGCACCCCGGGGCAUAUGGAAGUUCCCAGGGCAGGGGUCGAAUCAGUCCCCGGGGCCUCCCUUCCCUCCGGUCGAGGGUCCUGGGUGAGUGUGUCUGGCACACAGAGGGUCUUUACCAGCCGACCCCACCCACUAAGAUGCCGGAGGCCCUGGGCCCCUGGGGGCUGAUGGCUGCGCUGUUUCUGGAAUUGCGGGGUGGGGGGUGUGUCUGCCCCAGAUCCUCUAGUUCUGGGUGGGCAGAGAAGUCCCCUCCUCCACUGGGUCCCCAGCCCUCUGGCUGCUUCCCGGGGGACCAGAGGAGCUGGCCGUGUUUCCUCCGUUGCCCGGGCUGGCGGGACGCCCAGGCCUGCAGCGCCACUGACGCACAGCGUGGCUCCCGGCCCUGUCACGUGACACCCACACCAAACACAGAAGAUGCCUGCACACAGCACACACGGGCACCCGCACACGCUCCCUCAGCUGCCCUGUGUGCCAGGAGGCCCCCCUCGGCAUGGGUGACCUCUGGGCUACCCAGGGAAGUGAGGCACCCCCCACCCCCACCCAUGACAGAGGGGCAGGUGGACUGGGCCGGGGGCUCUUGUCCCUGGUUGAACAGCAGGUCCAACACGACAGCUUUCCCAAGGGGGCCACUGUGCAGGCCUGUGCCCAUGGACCUCCCACAGGGUGUUGCUUCUGCUGUCACGGCCGCUGCCUGGCCCCGAAGGCGAGUCAGCCUCCAGCCACCGCCGCACACCCACAGAGGAACCGAGCGAGGAGGCGGCCGGGAGGGAGCCUGGAGCCGGUCAGGGAAGCCCAUAUUCUAGAACAGCCCAGGAGCCCAGUGUCAGCAGUGAGACCCAGGCCGGACACCGGGGCACAUGUGUGGUUGUGUCUGCGUGUGUAUUUGUGUGGUUCUCCGCAUAUGCGUGUGCGUGUCUGUGGGGGUGUGUGUUCCCCAUCUCAGAUCUAGCUGCUCGCCGAUCUGAAAUCAAUACCCUGGAAGCCGUGGGUGGCCCAAAGGGCAGUUGCUUCCAUCAGAGCCCGGCAGUCGGGGGACGGCGGAUGCAGCGUCCCCCCAAACCAUCUCCAAAGACUCUGCUGGGCCACGAGAACUUUUUAAGGGGAAAAAGGGACGCGACCUCGGGGGACCACGGAGACAGGGGUCAGGGUCCGGCCAUCCCCCCAGGCUGGUCACUCCUCGUGCUCUUGCUUCAGAUGCUGUCUGUUCACGCAGUUGUUCGGAGCUUCUCGAAGGGGAGGCGGGGCAGGGACCGUCCUUAAUUACGAAUAUGCUUCGUUUCCACUUUGAGUCACACUAGGAACCGGCAGGCCAGGCAAGGUUUUGCGUGAUCAAAAGAUUUGAAAGCCCUGCCAGGGCCAGAGACGGGUGCAGCCUUGGGCGCCUGGUGUAAGGUUAGUGACCGGACCAAAGCCCUCCUGGAGAGAGCCCUUUCCUGCCAAAGGCUGCCCACACGUGUGUAUAUGGGUGUGUGUGUGUGUGUGUGUGUGUGUGGGGAAGCCCUCUCCAGGGGAGGGCUCAGAGGCAGGUCCCCCCUCAGGCCCCCCACUGCUCUGGUGGGCAGAGUUGGGCAUUGGGGACCUGGGUCCUCGGCUGAUUGUGCCUCUUCCUCAGGGUGGGGGGUGCAAAGCAGGUGCCCAGACUCCCCCCACCCCUCCUGCUAUGUGCUCACUGUCCAGAGAGGAGGUGGCCUCCAGAGGCUUCGUGGGGAGGGGUGUCGUGACCUCCCUCUGUCUACGUUUCACUCAGUCCUGCCAGUGCCACCCCUGUGAGCUGCCCCAGCUGCCGCUGGAGCAGGUGUGCCCAGGGAGAGGGGGGCUUCUGGGUGGGCAACCAGCCCUGCUUGCCCUACGUGUGCCUGAGAUGCUCCUGUCCACACCCGCCACCUCCCUCGUAUCGGUGGUCCUAGAAACACCCAGCAGGGGGCCUGAUCUGGAAAAGCCAGACCCUCAUCUGGUGUCAGGUGCUACCAAGGACACCUGUGUGACGCACGCGCGCCACCCACGUGCCUGAGGAGUGGCGCUCCGACCUGGGGAGCGCAUGCCUGGUUUUGGGACGGGUCCGUCUAGUUCUGUGGGGAUGGACAGUUCUGUAUUUGGUGGCUGGUUAGACACAAGGUUGGUGGCAGAACCCAGCUCCUCUGAGACACGUAACUGAGAACCAGAAACGUAACGGAGAAAAGCGCUGACCGAGGUACCGCGUCAGCGAUGGCCAUUCCUAAGUGUGAAAUGACAGAGCUACGAUCUUUGGAAUCGCUGAAACAAACUCUUUUUUUUUUUUUUUUUUUUUUGUCUUUUUGCCAUUUCUUGGGCCGCUCCCGCGGCAUAUGGAGAUUCCCAGGCUAGGGGUCCAGUUGGAGCUGUAGCCGCCGGCCUACGCCAGAGCCACAGCAACAUCAGAUCUGAGCCGCGUCUGCAACCUCCACCACAGCUCACGGCCACACCGGAUCCUUAACCCACUGAGCAAGGCCAGGGUUCGAACCCGCAACCUCAUGGUUCCUAGUCGGAUUUUUUAACCACUGAGCCACGACGGGAACUCCAACAAACUCUUGAUAUUUGGUAAAACUACUUGCCCCUUGUGACGAAUAGUUUCGGAACUCAGCUUUCAGGUCAGGAGCCUUUUGCCAGCCUGCUUUCUGUCCCCAGAGCAAGGACAGGUGUUGAACCCGAGAUUUUGAUUCCCACAAAUCGUAUCGGAGCCGUUUACUGGCGGUCUCACUCAGCAUGUCUGAGACGCCGCCCAGGACUUCCUCUGUAGCGUUAAGGAAGAAUCAGCAAUACGGGGAUGAGGUCGCANCCUACGCCAGAGCCACAGCAACGCGGGAUCCGAGCCGCGUCUGCAACCUACACCACAGCUCACGGCAACGCCGGAUCGUUAAGCCACUGAGCAAGGGCAGGGACCGAACCCACAACCUCAUGGUUCCUAGUCGGAUUCGUUAACCACUGCGCCACGACGGGAACUCCUGAACCCGAGAUUUUGAUUCCCACAAAUCGUAUCGGAGCUGUUUACUGGCGGUCUCACUCAGCAUAUCUGAGACACCGCCCAGGACUUCCUCUGUAGCAUUAAGGAAGAAUCACCAAUACGGGGACGAGGUCGAAUUUCCACAAACCCACGUGCCUGGCCAGCGGGUACCGGUGACCAGGUCUCCAGGCCUGAGCGCCUGUGUCCGUGGACAUUGCUGUUGUCUUGGAGGUGACUGAUGCGGGGGCGGGGGGAGCUCAGUGGUCCUGGGUCCUCGCGGGGUGGACCUCUGGCUGGGCUCCGGACCACGGCAAGAGGCCGCAGCAAGAGCUGCUCUCCGGGUCCUGGGGACCCACCACUUGGCGAAUAGCAGAGCUUGGGGAAACGUCUUUCUGAGGAGACGUGGGGAUGAUGGGACAUUCCUUGCUAGGCGUGUCCUGCCUGCGAUGUCCUUCGGGCUGGGCUGCCUCUGAGCAGGGGCCCCCUGGGGUCCCUCCUCCAAGGGGGUUCUCACCUGCUCCACCCCAGGUGCCCCCUAUGCACGGAUGGGCCUCCCCGCAUCAUCACACACACCCCUCCCUGGCCUCAAGGACCAACCGUGAGGUCAGAAGAAAGGAGGCUGGCCCCCCAGGCGGGGUGGGGCCUGUGCAGGCUCGCCGGAGGCCAGCAGGGUCUCCGUGGGGUCUUCGGGCCUCUCUGGCAGAGAAGCAGCC
RNAcentral lists this long non-coding RNA (4356 nucleotides) under Sus scrofa (pig). RNAcentral's name for it is "lncRNA (ENSSSCG00030000620.1)". The record is from RNAcentral. Lineage: Eukaryota; Metazoa; Chordata; Mammalia; Artiodactyla; Suidae.